UGUUUUUUUUUUUUUUUUUUUUUUUUUUUUUUUUUUUUUU
RNAcentral lists this non-coding RNA (40 nucleotides) under Prorocentrum micans. The record is from RNAcentral. Lineage: Eukaryota; Dinophyceae; Prorocentrales; Prorocentraceae.